RNAcentral lists this long non-coding RNA (2007 nucleotides) under Daucus carota (carrot). RNAcentral describes it as "long non-coding RNA (DCAR_LNC001821)". The record is from RNAcentral. Lineage: Eukaryota; Viridiplantae; Streptophyta; Magnoliopsida; Apiales; Apiaceae.
GCGAUUGAUGUUGCGUUGUCGCCGCUGGCGGUGAAGUCGCUAGAGACUGAGGAGAGGGCAGACGCGUUGUUAAAGCGAGCUGAGUUGAGGAUCGGAGUGAGUGGAAAGGAGCGACUUGACGACUCGGUUAUGCAGGAUUUGGUGGAGUCGGUGAAGUUGAAGAAGGAGAAUUGGAAGGCGUUUGUGUUGUUAGGAGAGUGUUAUGAGAAGAAGGAGAUGAAGGACGAGGCGGUGGAAGCUUACGAGAGUGCGAUUCGAGUGGAGCCGGAGUGUAAGGUUGCUGUUAAGGCCCUGGAUCGCUUGCGAGAUUGAUUCUUCGUAGAGUGAGUAAAUUUUCCUGCUGUACUAACUUUUUUAAGUCGGAUAUGACACGAGAAUAAUUGUUUUGCACUUUUAAAUAUUUGCUGAACGACAUAGUAUAUAAAAUGUUGUUGUGCACUUUUAAAUAUUUGUGCUGAACGAUAUAAUUUAUAAAAUGUUGAAGAGGUGUUUUCAUGCUAAAACUGUUCUGUGUGCGAGCGAGACCACAUGUAUGUCUCUGUUGUAUGGAUCUUUCAGUUUGAUCUAUUGAAAUGUCUAAUUUGCUUUUAACAGUAGAUUCUUUCAUGCUAAAAAUGUACUCCCUCUGUUCCAUUUAAUUCUAUACGUUUCUUUUUCACUGCUCGACACGCACUUCAAUGCUCUUAUAAAACAUAGUUCUACAACUUAUAUUUAAAAUUUUUUUUUUCUGAAUAAAAAUAUAACAUUCAAACUUUUAUACAGAGAAGAAAAAUCUUAAAAACAAGUUAUAGAACUAUAUUUUACGGGAGCAUUAAAGUCCGUGCCGUGUCCCCGUCCCCCAAUGUAUAUAACUCAGGGGGACGGAGGGAGUAAUAAUUAAUUGAUUAAACAUAUGACGGUGUGAGGACUUGACAAACGAACUACUCCCUGGACUGAGGUAAUUGAUUUUAUAUCAUUCCCUAAGACAUUAGAGCAUUAACUAUUAGCAGAAAAAAUGAGUAAAGUUAGAUGAAAAGUGGGUAAAGUGGUGGGACCCAUCAAUAUUUAAUAAUAGAUUUGAGAUAGUGGAGGAAAGUAGUGGGUGUAAUAGUAGUUUUUAUUGUUAAAUAUGAGAUAGUAGGGGAAGAUAGUGGGUGUAAUGAUGGAAAAAACUUACUAUUUAUGGUAACGUAAAGAAAUGAGAGGGACAUCCCAAAAUUUUCUUUUCUUGAAUUAAAGUUUGGAUGUUAUAUUUUUAUACAGAAAAAAAAAUCUCAAAAAUAAUUUACGGAACUAUAUUUUAGAAGAGUGUUAGAAUUGCAUGCGACACAUCGAGUAAAAUACUACUACCAGUGCUACGUGGAAAGGAAAAGUCAGCCGUCUUUGACUUUUCCAUCCCAUCGCACACAUAUCUACGAUCUUUUACAUCUACACAACGGAGGCGGCUAGAGUUUUCUCUCUGAAAUGGAUUUCUCUGAGAGAGAGCGAAGAAUCAAAUUCAUCGCCGAUAUUCUAAUCCAAGCCGUUACUGCCAUUAUCGUGCUAGGUAUCUUUGUAUUGCUCUACAAGCUCCCUCAAUAUUACAUCUCUAAGCUCCGUUCGCGAAACAAAUCGAACGUCGAAGCUCGCCGUCACUUCGUCGCCGGCGCUCAACUCCUCGCCAAAUCUCGAUCCAGUAAGGAUCUCUCCGCCGCGAAGCUCGCCGUCGAUGAGGCCGACAAGUCGAUUGCUUUGGAUCCGUACGACGCCGCUUCGCAUAUUCUAAAGUCGAUGGCGCUUGAUUUGCUAGGGUUUAAGACGGCGGCGAUUGAGGCGAUUGAUGUUGCGUUGUCGCCGCUGGCGGUGAAGUCGCUAGAGACUGAGGAGAGGGCAGACGCGUUGUUAAAGCGAGCUGAGUUGAGGAUCGGAGUGAGUGGAAAGGAGCGACUUGACGACUCGGUUAUGCAGGAUUUGGUGGAGUCGGUGAAGUUGAAGAAGGAGAAUUGGAAGGCGUUUGUGUUGUUAGGAGAGUGUUAUGAGAAGAAGGAG